AUAUUUAUCUGACGUAGGCAUCAUCGUUAUCAUGAAAGCGGUUCACUCGGAGUGAGGCUUGAUUAUUGCAUUGUCGAUUGACACGGCCUCCGCGAUUAUUUCUAUUCGCGGGUGUACAUUUUAAC
Molecule: small nuclear RNA, 125 nt
Filed under: Glossina morsitans morsitans
Lineage: Eukaryota; Metazoa; Arthropoda; Insecta; Diptera; Glossinidae
Description: U1 spliceosomal RNA
Source: RNAcentral